This is a long non-coding RNA of Diorhabda sublineata, 1258 nucleotides long. RefSeq lists it as uncharacterized. The record is from RefSeq and is a predicted model, not a curated record. Lineage: Eukaryota; Metazoa; Arthropoda; Insecta; Coleoptera; Chrysomelidae. The transcript has 2 exons.
GUUUCAUAAGUUUUACACCUCGGGUUAAUGGCAAAUCGGAUUCCUCUGUUUGUUUAUUUUGUUCUAGAAACUGAAAGUUGUUUUAUUUCUGUUUUAAUCUUAACAACAAUAGGGGAUUGGGAAGAUUCGUCAGAUAAUUCUAAAUUAAAUGUUUUAGUUAACAAAAAUUUUUGCGAAUAUAAAAAGUGGCUUCCAGCCAAGUGUUCGAAAAUGACUUUGAUUUGCCUUUUUUAAUUCUGAUGUAGCUGAUUGAAUAAUUGUUUGGCAUUGAAGAUGAUGGAAUUUUUUAUCAGAUCUUAGAAACUACAAGAGGUAACCGACUUAACAGCCUAUUAUUGCCAAUUAAAUGCAGCUGGCCGUUUGAUGUACACAAGCAACUUUUGAGAGAGGUUUUCAUGAAUCCACUUUAGGAGCAAGAUUGAGAAGAUCAAUUGUGGUGAUGCAGUUACAAUUGAGCAUGCUAUUAAUGUUUUAACCGACGUGGACUUGUUGCCUGUUGAGAUGACUGAUCAAGACCCGCCAACCAGCGCUGGGGAAGAAACAAAUCAUGAUGACAAAAUAAUUGGGUUCGAUUUCAUCCAAUCCGAACAAACUUCUUCUAUCGAAGCUUCAGAAGGAAGCCAUCCCCAACUUUCUCCUACUGAUAAUGAAGAGCAAUUAACUUCCCAUUAGUUCAACUGCAAUGCAGCCAAUCUGACGUACAUCAACGUAUGACAUCCCCUGAACAGAUAAUUCCACUUCCAAUAACUCUUAUCAAGAGAAUAAGGAGUAGGAAACGAUUAAAAUUCGUGUUGCUUACAUCCACACAUCCGCGCCUAGCUCCUCUCCAACUCAACCGAUUUAAGUGUUCAAAAACUCAAAAGAAAGAAGGUGUUUCAGUGAGUGUUCUUAAACCAAAACGAAGUCUCUAUCUUGAAUAGAACCUGAGAUAUUGAGGAUAGAACGUGUGUAUGUGAAAAACUCCCAUAAGUAAUGUACAGGGGGAAAUCGCAUUUGGGUAUAACUUGAGAAUGGUGAAAAUUAGAUGAAAUCUGAUGGUUGAUGGCUGAUCUGUGCAUCAAUACCUUCCAUUGAAAAAAAAAUUAAGCAAAUCGGUUGGGUAGAACGCCUGAACGGAUUCGGAAUGGAAAUCAUCAAUUUUUUUAAUAUAUAAGAUUAUACAAUAAAAAUUUUACUCCCUCAGAUCUUUUAAAUUCGAGAAAAUUAACUUUAUAAUUAUUAUUUAAUAAAUCCUGAUACACAAGGUACAAAAAAUAAA